Molecule: long non-coding RNA, 217 nt
Filed under: Gossypium raimondii (Peruvian cotton)
Lineage: Eukaryota; Viridiplantae; Streptophyta; Magnoliopsida; Malvales; Malvaceae
Description: long non-coding RNA (GRAI_LNC002170)
Source: RNAcentral
UAGCUCUCUACAACAACAACCUCCCGAAAUCCCAAUAUUCUCUCCUCAAAUCUCUCCAAAUAUCCCUCCUCAAUUCUCUCUAUGACCAGUUCAAACACUAUUUACCAGUAUUUCAAUCCAACUCUACCACCAACAUGAAUUAGGCAGCAAAAUAAAUACUCCUUUUUUUUAUGCGCCACCACUUGAACCUUAAACCCCAUGUACACUCCACACGGCC